Molecule: ribosomal RNA, 556 nt
Filed under: uncultured bacterium
Lineage: Bacteria
Description: partial 16S ribosomal RNA
Rfam family: Bacterial small subunit ribosomal RNA
Source: RNAcentral
UAGGGAAUCUUCCACAAUGGACGCAAGUCUGAUGGAGCAACGCCGCGUGAGUGAAGAAGGUUUUUGGACCGUAAAGCUCUGUUGUUGGUGAAGAAGGAUAGAGGUAGUAACUGGCCUUUAUUUGACGGUAAUCAACCAGAAAGUCACGGCUAACUACGUGCCAGCAGCCGCGGUAAUACGUAGGUGGCAAGCGUUGUCCGGAUUUAUUGGGCGUAAAGCGAGCGCAGGCGGAAGAAUAAGUCUGAUGUGAAAGCCCUCGGCUUAACCGAGGAAUUGCAUCGGAAACUGUUUUCUUGAGUGCAGAAGAGGAGAGUAGAACUCCAUGUGUAGCGGUGGAAUGCGUAGAUAUAUGGAAGAAUACCAGUGGCGAAGGCGGCUCUCUGGUCUGCAAACUGACGCUGAGGCUCGAAAAGCAUGGGUAGCGAACAGGAUUAGAUACCCUGGUAGUCCAUGCCGUAAACGAUGAGUGCUAAGUGUUGGGAGGCUUCCGCCUCUCAGUGCUGCAGCUAACGCAUUAAGCACUCCGCCUGGGGGAGUACGACCGCAAGGUUGAAAC